AAUAGCGGAGGAAAAGAAACUAACAAGGAUUCCCCUAGUAACGGCGAGUGAAGAGGGAAGAGCCCAAGAUUGAAAGCUGGCGUCUUCGGCGUCCGCAUUGUAAUCUCAAGAAGUGUUUUCCGCUUCGGACCAUGCCUAAGUCCCUUGGAAAAGGGUAUCAUAGAGGGUGAUAAUCCCGUACAUGGCAUGGAGCGCCCGAAGCUUUGUGAUACGCUUUCUACGAGUCGAGUUGUUUGGGAAUGCAGCUCAAAAUGGGUGGUAAAUGCCAUCUAAGGCUAAAUAUUGGGGAGAGACCGAUAGCGAACAAGUACAGUGAUGGAAAGAUGAAAAGAACUUUGAAAAGAGAGUUAAACAGUACGUGAAAUUGCCAAAAGGGAAGGGUAGGAGGUCAGAGAUGCGUCUUGGGAUUCAGCCUUGCUUUUGCAUGGUGUUUUUCCCAAGCUGCAGGCCAACGUCGGUUUUGGGCACUGGAGAAGGGUAGGAGGAACGUGGCACCUCUCGGGGUGUGUUAUAGCCUCCUACUGGAUACAGCGACCGAGACCGAGGAACGCAGCGUACUCGUAAGAGCGGGCCUUUUGGCACCUUUACGCUUAGGGCGUUGGCAUAAUGGCCCUCUACCACCCGUCUGA
This 629-nucleotide ribosomal RNA is filed under the name Pseudozyma sp. RNAcentral describes it as "LSU rRNA". It matches the Rfam family "Eukaryotic large subunit ribosomal RNA", at positions 45 to 656 of the family's 3401-position model. The record is from RNAcentral. Lineage: Eukaryota; Fungi; Basidiomycota; Ustilaginomycetes; Ustilaginales; Ustilaginaceae.